CCAGCAGCUGCGGUAAUUCCAGCUCCAGUAGCGUAUACUAAUGUUGCUGCAGUUAAAAAGCUCGUAGUUGGAUUUCUGGUUGAUAAUUGUGGUCCGUCGGGUCUUACCCGUAUGAGUAUCGCUUAUUAUCUGCCAUCCUAUCAGGGCACUAGGGUCUCGGCUCUAGGGUUCUGGUUCUUUUACUUUGAAAAAAUUAGAGUGUUUAAAGCAAGCUUGCGCGAUGAAUACAUUAGCAUGGAAUAAUAAUAUAGGACUACGGGUUCUAUUUUGUUGGUUUCUAGACCUGAAGUAAUGAUUGAUAGGGAUAGUUGGGGGUGCUAGUAUUGGGAGGCCAGAGGUGAAAUUCUUGGAUUCUCUCAAGACUAACUUAUGCGAAAGCAUUCACCAAGGAUGUCUUCUUUAAUCAAGAACGAAAGU
This 417-nucleotide ribosomal RNA is filed under the name uncultured eukaryote. RNAcentral describes it as "SSU rRNA". It matches the Rfam family "Eukaryotic small subunit ribosomal RNA", at positions 567 to 990 of the family's 1831-position model. The record is from RNAcentral.